RNAcentral lists this ribosomal RNA (449 nucleotides) under uncultured Candidatus Sumerlaeota bacterium. RNAcentral describes it as "bacterial SSU rRNA". It matches the Rfam family "Bacterial small subunit ribosomal RNA", at positions 936 to 1382 of the family's 1533-position model. Lineage: Bacteria; Candidatus Sumerlaeota. The record is from RNAcentral.
AGCAUGUGGUUUAAUUCGAGGCAACGCGAAGAACCUUACCUGGGCUUGACAUCCCGUGUUACCCCUGGAAACAGGGGGUCCUCUUCGGAGGCACGGUGACAGGUGUUGCAUGGCUGUCGUCAGCUCGUGUCGUGAGAUGUUGGGUUAAGUCCCCGCAACGAGCGCAACCCUGUUCCUAGUUACCAGCGGUUCGGCCGGGAACUCUAGGAAGACUGCCCGUGAUAAGCGGGAGGAAGGUGGGGACGACGUCAAGUCAUCAUGGCCCUUACGUCCAGGGCUACACACGUGCUACAAUGGCCGGUACAAUGGGUUGCGAAGCCGCAAGGUGAAGCUAAUCCCAAAAAAGCCGGUCUCAGUUCGGAUCGGAGUCUGCAACUCGACUCCGUGAAGCUGGAGUUGCUAGUAAUCCCCGGAUCAGCAACGCCGGGGUGAAUACGUUCCCGGGCCUU